RNAcentral lists this ribosomal RNA (466 nucleotides) under uncultured bacterium. RNAcentral describes it as "partial 16S ribosomal RNA". It matches the Rfam family "Bacterial small subunit ribosomal RNA", at positions 28 to 507 of the family's 1533-position model. The record is from RNAcentral.
GACGAACGCUGGCGGCGCGCCUAACACAUGCAAGUCGAACGAGCGAGAGAGAGCUUGCUUUCUUGAGCGAGUGGCGAACGGGUGAGUAACGCGUGAGGAACCUGCCUCAAAGAGGGGGACAACAGUUGGAAACGACUGCUAAUACUGCAUAAGCCCACGACCCGGCAUCGGGUUGAGGGAAAAGGAGCAAUCCGCUUUGAGAUGGCCUCGCGUCCGAUUAGCUAGUUGGUGAGGUAACGGCCCACCAAGGCGACGAUCGGUAGCCGGACUGAGAGGUUGAACGGCCACAUUGGGACUGAGACACGGCCCAGACUCCUACGGGAGGCAGCAGUGGGGAAUAUUGCACAAUGGGGGAAACCCUGAUGCAGCGACGCCGCGUGGAGGAAGAAGGUCUUCGGAUUGUAAACUCCUGUUGUUGAGGAAGAUAAUGACGGUACUCAACAAGGAAGUGACGGCUAACUACGUG